This 253-nucleotide ribosomal RNA is filed under the name uncultured bacterium. Its description in RNAcentral is "partial 16S ribosomal RNA". It matches the Rfam family "Bacterial small subunit ribosomal RNA", at positions 524 to 776 of the family's 1533-position model. The record is from RNAcentral.
UACAGAGGGGGCGAGCGUUGUUCGGAAUUACUGGGCGUAAAGGGCGCGUAGGCGGCCCUCUAAGUCGAACGUGAAAUCCCCGGGCUCAACCCGGGAACUGCGUCCGAUACUGGAGGGCUCGAAUCCGGGAGAGGGAUGUGGAAUUCCAGGUGUAGCGGUGAAAUGCGUAGAUAUCUGGAGGAACACCGGUGGCGAAGGCGGCAUCCUGGACCGGUAUUGACGCUGAGGUGCGAAAGCGUGGGGAGCAAACAGG